AUCCAGCUGACGAGUCCCAAAUAGGACGGAACGCGUAUCUUGGAU
Molecule: non-coding RNA, 45 nt
Filed under: Schistosoma margrebowiei
Lineage: Eukaryota; Metazoa; Platyhelminthes; Trematoda; Strigeidida; Schistosomatidae
Source: RNAcentral